GACUCUCGGCAACGGAUAUCUUGGCUCUCGCAUCGAUGAAGAAGGUAGCGAAAUGCGAUACUUGGUGUGAAUUGCAAAAUCCCGUGAAUCAUCGAGUCUUUGAACGCAAGUUGCGCCCUAGGCCGUCAGGCCGAGGGCACGCCUGCCUGGGCGUCACGCACCGAGUCGCCCCCAUGCCCCUGCCCUUUGUACAAUUCAGAGGGCCGGGGCGUCGGGAGCGGAGAAUGGCCCCCCGUGCCCCCGUGCGCGGCCGGCCCAAAUCGAGGCCCCCCGGAGGCCGACGUCACGAUCCGUGGUGGUUGUAAAAGACGCGCCCUAAAAACCGGAUCACGUGCAUGUCGCGCCGCUCCCCGGGAGGCCACAGCGACCCCCAAGGGCCGUCCCAGGACGGCACCCACUCU
RNAcentral lists this unclassified non-coding RNA (401 nucleotides) under Corydalis wilsonii. Its description in RNAcentral is "sequence contains 5.8S rRNA gene and ITS2". The stretch from base 1 to 156 matches the Rfam family "5.8S ribosomal RNA". The record is from RNAcentral. Lineage: Eukaryota; Viridiplantae; Streptophyta; Magnoliopsida; Ranunculales; Papaveraceae.